CUUUUCACUCUUUUUCAUUAGGACCCCGACAAGCUUGUCAGCAAAAUUAAAGGUUCACUUCAGACGGUCUCCAUCCUGUGUUGGAAAGCAGAAAGCAGCAAGUGGACCUGGGCUGCAUAAGCACCUGCCAGGCCCUAAACAGUGGUAAAACACUGGCUGCCAUGAACUUCUUGUUAAAAAAAAGAAAGAAGAGAAGGCUGUGGUUUGGAGGCUGCUGGAGCUGCCUGUAGCAGACUGUGAGCUGCUGAUGGCGUGGCUGCUGAAAUCACUACAAGGAUAAUAGGGCACACAUGCAUUUGUGGAUAAUUCUGGUUGCUAAUUGCUCAUGAAAUUUCAGGUAAGGAACAUCCAAU
Molecule: long non-coding RNA, 353 nt
Filed under: Calidris pugnax (ruff)
Lineage: Eukaryota; Metazoa; Chordata; Aves; Charadriiformes; Scolopacidae
Description: lncRNA (ENSCPUG00000018025.1)
Source: RNAcentral